This 207-nucleotide long non-coding RNA is filed under the name Homo sapiens (human). RNAcentral describes it as "LHRI_LNC776.1". The record is from RNAcentral. Lineage: Eukaryota; Metazoa; Chordata; Mammalia; Primates; Hominidae.
UCAGCCAGGCCUCCUCCAACCAAAUCCUUGCUAGGGGGAGGAGGGGCCCCGACAGUAGAGAAAUGCUCCCUCUCCCCCAACUCCUUCGCUCCCAGCCCAGCCUAAGCUUUUUGGAGCAUCACAGACUCGGUUUACAGAGACUCCCUAGGGCGGAGAGCUCUCUGCCCGCCUGGACAGCCCUGUCUGUCCAUUGCUGGACAGCUCCAC